UACGGAGGAUGCGAGCGUUAUCCGGAUUUAUUGGGUUUAAAGGGUGCGUAGGCGGCUUUUUAAGUCAGCGGUGAAAUUUUGCAGCUUAACUGUAACAGUGCCGUUGAUACUGGGGAGCUAGGAUUUGGUUGCUGUGGGUGGAAUGUGUGGUGUAGCGGUGAAAUGCUUAGAGAUCACACAGAAUAUCGAUUGCGAAGGCCGCUCACAAAGCCAAGAUUGACGCUGAGGCACGAAAGUGUGGGGAUCAAACAGGAUUAGA
RNAcentral lists this ribosomal RNA (259 nucleotides) under uncultured prokaryote. Its description in RNAcentral is "partial 16S ribosomal RNA". It matches the Rfam family "Bacterial small subunit ribosomal RNA", at positions 524 to 782 of the family's 1533-position model. The record is from RNAcentral.